AGAGUUUGAUCCUGGCUCAGGACGAACGCUGGCGGCGUGCCUAACACAUGCAAGUGGAGCGACGAACCGGGCUUCGGCCCGGGGCAAAGCCGCGAACGGGUGAGUAACACGUGGGUAACCUGCCCUGAUGAUUGGGACAACCCGAGGAAACUCGGGCUAAUACCAAAUGUGCCCUCCGACUCUAAGGUCGAUGGGGAAAGGGAAGCUUCGGCCUCCGCAUCGGGAUGGGCCCGCGGCCCAUUAGCUUGUUGGUGAGGUAAUGGCUCACCAAGGCUACGAUGGGUAGCUGGUCUGAGAGGACGAUCAGCCACACUGGGACUGAGACACGGCCCAGACUCCUACGGGAGGCAGCAGUGGGGAAUCUUGCGCAAUGCGCGAAAGCGUGACGCAGCAACGCCGCGUGGGGGAAGACGGCCUUCGGGUUGUAAACCCCUUU
Molecule: ribosomal RNA, 436 nt
Filed under: uncultured bacterium
Lineage: Bacteria
Description: bacterial SSU rRNA
Rfam family: Bacterial small subunit ribosomal RNA
Source: RNAcentral